UAUACGAAGGGAGGAGACGCCAGACAGUGCCACAGAAGACGUUAUCACUGAAACAGGAAUAUUUGCCCCGGAUCCAGUGCGCCUCCCAAGAAUUGUCUGCCCCCAGGAUGUGCGCAGGUCCUGCAUGAUAGGCAUGGUGGUGACACUGUUCACCGUGCCCCUCGUGCUGACAGGCUGCUAUCUUGGCAUUCGGAAGCUGUACCAGAGCAGACGGUCAGUUGUUGAUUUUUCUCCACAGCUUUCUUGUAACUCUGCUCAUAGCAUUGGUAGCCUGACUGGUAGUCAUGCUGCACUGGAGCUGUGGCCAGUCCGUGGUUGUCCAAAGAACUCUGCUGAGGGCUCUGCUGCUGCCCAGUGCUUUCAUUGGCCUCUUCAUUGCUGGGCCUUGUCCUGGGGGGCCCGCUGGGGCUGCAGCCAGUGCUGGCUCCCACUGAGGCUGCCAGGCCAAGAGCAGCCCCGGGGGCACAGGGCAGAGGCAGAGCAAGUUCUCAACAGUAUUUGGGCCACACAGCUCAGGACAGGACAGUGCUUAUUUAGUAGCUCAUGUAAAGUUUCAUGGUGACAGUGAUGUUACCAGACAAGCAAAUUUGCUCCUGUUCAGUGUUCAAACAAAUCCAACCUGAUGAAGGUUUGGCUUUGGCCUUGAGGCUUUGCUCUUUGUGUGAGCCCUGUUCUGGAUUGAUUCCCACUGAGUCUUGGAGCCUGUUUUGGGUGAAGACUCAUCCUGGCCCUGACCCUUGGCAGUUCUGGGCUCAAAGGGACCGCCGAGGCCGCACUGCACGUGACUGGGCUUCAGGGCUCCAUCAUCAAAGGCCUUUGAGAAGUUUAAAUUACUGUAUUCUUACUCUUUGGUUUUCUUUCUGGAAUUCGUUCCCUUUUUUUUAAACUUAAUUUUAAAAAAACAAAUUCUUUUCCAGUGCUUUUUCCAGUUAUUUGAUAUAGUGAAUGAUGGCUGGACCAUCGAGGAUCUCGUCUCAACGGUGGUAGCUCUAUUCCCCUUCCUCUCUUUUCUCUCUAUUUCCCUUUUCUGUCCCUUCUAUCGCAUUUGCUGUUGGUACCUAAAUAAAGAUGCAUUUGUUGUGAUUAAA
Molecule: long non-coding RNA, 1088 nt
Organism: Vidua macroura (Pin-tailed whydah)
Lineage: Eukaryota; Metazoa; Chordata; Aves; Passeriformes; Viduidae
Exons: 2
Source: RefSeq, a predicted model, not a curated record